RNAcentral lists this ribosomal RNA (253 nucleotides) under uncultured bacterium. RNAcentral describes it as "partial 16S ribosomal RNA". It matches the Rfam family "Bacterial small subunit ribosomal RNA", at positions 524 to 776 of the family's 1533-position model. The record is from RNAcentral.
UACGUAGGUGGCAAGCGUUGUCCGGAAUUAUUGGGCGUAAAGCGCGCGCAGGCGGUCCUUUAAGUCUGAUGUGAAAGCCCACGGCUCAACCGUGGAGGGUCAUUGGAAACUGGGGGACUUGAGUACAGAAGAGAAGAGUGGAAUUCCACGUGUAGCGGUGAAAUGCGUAGAUAUCAGGAGGAACACCGGUGGCGAAGGCGUCCAUCUGGCCCGAUACUGACGCUGAGGCGCGAAAGCUAGGGGAGCGAACGGG